GAACGCUGGCGGCGUGCCUAAUACAUGCAAGUCGAGCGGACCGACGGGAGCUUGCUCCCUUAGGUCAGCGGCGGACGGGUGAGUAACACGUGGGUAACCUGCCUGUAAGACUGGGAUAACUCCGGGAAACCGGGGCUAAUACCGGAUGCUUGAUUGAACCGCAUGGUUCAAUCAUAAAAGGUGGCUUUUAGCUACCACUURCAGAUGGACCCGCGGCGCAUUAGCUAGUUGGUGAGGUAACGGCUCACCAAGGCGACGAUGCGUAGCCGACCUGAGAGGGUGAUCGGCCACACUGGGACUGAGACACGGCCCAGACUCCUACGGGAGGCAGCAGUAGGGAAUCUUCCGCAAUGGACGAAAGUCUGACGGAGCAACGCCGCGUGAGUGAUGAAGGUUUUCGGAUCGUAAAACUCUGUUGUUAGGGAAGAACAAGUACCGUUCGAAUAGGGC
Molecule: ribosomal RNA, 450 nt
Filed under: Bacillus sp. R-27631
Lineage: Bacteria; Bacillati; Bacillota; Bacilli; Caryophanales; Bacillaceae
Description: bacterial SSU rRNA
Rfam family: Bacterial small subunit ribosomal RNA
Source: RNAcentral